RNAcentral lists this small nuclear RNA (106 nucleotides) under Pteropus vampyrus (large flying fox). Lineage: Eukaryota; Metazoa; Chordata; Mammalia; Chiroptera; Pteropodidae. The record is from RNAcentral.
GUGUUUGCUUUGGUAGCACACAUACUAAAAUUGAAAUGAUACAGAGCAAUUAGCAUGGCUCCUGCACAAGGAUGACACUUAAAUUCAUGAAGCAUUUCAUAUUUUG